This 465-nucleotide ribosomal RNA is filed under the name uncultured bacterium. Its description in RNAcentral is "partial 16S ribosomal RNA". It matches the Rfam family "Bacterial small subunit ribosomal RNA", at positions 338 to 795 of the family's 1533-position model. The record is from RNAcentral.
CCUACGGGUGGCAGCAGUGGGGAAUUUUGCGCAAUGCUCGUAAGAGUGACGCAGCGACGCCGCGUGAAUGACGAAGGCCUUCGGGUCGUAAAGUUCUUUCGACAGGGAAGAAAAUGCCUAUAAGUAACUGUGUAUGUAUUGACGGUACCUGUAUAAGCAGCCCCGGCUAACUCCGUGCCAGCAGCAGCGGUAAUACGGAGGAGGCGGGCGUUGUUCGGAGGGGAUGGGCGUAAAGAGCACGUAGGCGGUGUUGUAAGUCAUUAGUCAAAGACUAGAGCUCAACGUUAGUAAGGCUAGUGAUACUAUAAUACGAGAGUAUCAGAGAGGAUUGCAGAAUUCCUGGUGUAGCGGUGAAAUGCGUAGAUAUCAGGAGGAAUACCGUUAGCGAAGGCGGCAAUCUGGCUGGAAACUGACGCUGAGGUGCGAAAGCGUGGGUAGCAAACAGGAUUAGAUACCCCGGUAGUC